UGGGGAAUUUUGGACAAUGGGCGAAAGCCUGAUCCAGCAAUGCCGCGUGUGUGAAGAAGGCCUUCGGGUUGUAAAGCACUUUUGUCCGGAAAGAAAUCCUUGGCUCUAAUACAGUCGGGGGAUGACGGUACCGGAAGAAUAAGCACCGGCUAACUACGUGCCAGCAGCCGCGGUAAUACGUAGGGUGCAAGUGUUAAUCGGAAUUACUGGGCGUAAAGCGUGCGCAGGCGGUUUGCUAAGACCGAUGUGAAAUCCCCGGGCUCAACCUGGGAACUGCAUUGGUGACUGGCAGGCUAGAGUAUGGCAGAGGGGGGUAGAAUUCCACGUGUAGCAGUGAAAUGCGUAGAGAUGUGGAGGAAUACCGAUGGCGAAGGCAGCCCCCUGGGCCAAUACUGACGCUCAUGCACGAAAGCGUGGGGAGCAAACAGGAUUAGAUACCCUGGUAGUCCACGCCCUAAAACGAUGUCAACUAGUUGUUGGGGAUUCAUUUCCUUAGUAACGUAGCUAACGCGUGAAGUUGACCGCCUGGGGAGUACGGUCGCAAGAUUAAAACUUAAAUGAAUUGACGGGGUCAUAGCUGUUUCCU
This 586-nucleotide ribosomal RNA is filed under the name uncultured bacterium. Its description in RNAcentral is "partial 16S ribosomal RNA". It matches the Rfam family "Bacterial small subunit ribosomal RNA", at positions 355 to 1375 of the family's 1533-position model. The record is from RNAcentral.